GGAGAUCGAAUCAGAGGAUCAAAUUUGAGAGAGAUUGUAACCCAAAAUCAUCAAACAAAAAUAUUAUUUUAUGCAUGUUGUUCUUGUCUCUUUCGUUUCAGGAAAAUUUCGUGUUUACAAAUUGGCAUGCCCAGUGGGACCAUCUCUACCUCUCAUCUCUUUCUCCGUUCAAGAAAUCCAAACACACCUCAAAGUCAAUGGCAUCAAGAAAGGGACAAGCCGUUCUCGCAACCACUGAGGGAAGGAUCCUAAGCA
RNAcentral lists this long non-coding RNA (255 nucleotides) under Malus domestica (apple). RNAcentral's name for it is "long non-coding RNA (MDOM_LNC008288)". Lineage: Eukaryota; Viridiplantae; Streptophyta; Magnoliopsida; Rosales; Rosaceae. The record is from RNAcentral.